This 804-nucleotide ribosomal RNA is filed under the name fungal endophyte. RNAcentral describes it as "eukaryotic LSU rRNA". The stretch from base 477 to 804 matches the Rfam family "Eukaryotic large subunit ribosomal RNA", at positions 1 to 331 of the family's 3401-position model. Lineage: Eukaryota; Fungi. The record is from RNAcentral.
CCCAAACCCAUGUGAACAUACCUAACGUUGCCUCGGCAGGUCGCACCUACCUUGUAGCACCCUACCCUGUAGGGCCUACCCGGGAGGUGCGGGUAAGCCUGCCGGCGGCCCACCAAACUCUGUUUGAUAUUGAAUUCUGAACCUAUAACUAAAUAAGUUAAAACUUUCAACAACGGAUCUCUUGGUUCUGGCAUCGAUGAAGAACGCAGCGAAAUGCGAUAAGUAAUGUGAAUUGCAGAAUUCAGUGAAUCAUCGAAUCUUUGAACGCAUAUUGCGCCCAUUAGUAUUCUAGUGGGCAGGACCGUUCGAGCGUCAUUUCAACCCUUAAGCCUUCGUUGCUUAGUGUUGGGAGCCUACGGCAACGUAGCUCCUCAAAGUUAGUGGCGGAGUUGGUUCACACUCUAGACGUAGUAAUUUUUUAUCUCGCCUAUUAGUUGGACUAAUCCCCUGCCGUAAAACCCCCAAUUUAUCAAGGUUGACCUCGAAUCGGUUCAGACAAACUCGCUAAAUUGAAGCAUCUUAGUCAGCGAAGGAAAAGAAACCAACAGGGAUUGCCCUAGUAACGGCGAGUGAAGCGGCAACAGCUCAAAUUUGAAAUCUGGCCCUCGGGUCCGAGUUGUAAUUUGUAGAGGAUGCUUUUGGCGCGGUGCCUUCCGAGUUCCCUGGAACGGGACGCCUUAGAGGGUGAGAGCCCCGUACGGUUGGACACCAAGCCUCUGUAAAGCUCCUUCGACGAGUCGAGUAGCUUGGGAAUGCUGCUCUAAAUGGGAGGUAAAUUUCUUCUAAAGCUAAAUAUUGGCCAGA